GACGAACGCUGGCGGCGUGCUUAACACAUGCAAGUCGAGCGGUAAGGCCUUUCGGGGUACACGAGCGGCGAACGGGUGAGUAACACGUGGGUGAUCUGCCCUGCACUUCGGGAUAAGCCUGGGAAACUGGGUCUAAUACCGGAUAUGACCUCCUAUCGCAUGGUGGGUGGUGGAAAGAUUUAUCGGUGCAGGAUGGGCCCGCGACCUAUCAGCUUGUUGGUGGGGUAAUGGCCUACCAAGGCGACGACGGGUAGCCGACCCGAGAGGGUGACCGGCCACACUGGGACUGAGACACGGCCCAGACUCCUACGGGAGGCAGCAGUGGGGAAUAUUGCACAAUGGGCGAAAGCCUGAUGCAGCGACGCCGCGUGAGGGAUGACGGCCUUCGGGUUGUAAACCUCUUUCAGCAGGGACGAAGCGCAAGUGACGGUACCUGCAGAAGAAGCACCGGCUAACUACGUG
RNAcentral lists this ribosomal RNA (462 nucleotides) under uncultured bacterium. RNAcentral's name for it is "partial 16S ribosomal RNA". It matches the Rfam family "Bacterial small subunit ribosomal RNA", at positions 28 to 507 of the family's 1533-position model. The record is from RNAcentral.